This 413-nucleotide ribosomal RNA is filed under the name uncultured bacterium. Its description in RNAcentral is "bacterial SSU rRNA". It matches the Rfam family "Bacterial small subunit ribosomal RNA", at positions 28 to 438 of the family's 1533-position model. The record is from RNAcentral.
GAUGAACGCUGGCGGCGUGCUUAACACAUGCAAGUCGAGCGAUGAAGUUUCCUUCGGGAAACGGAUUAGCGGCGGACGGGUGAGUAACACGUGGGUAACCUGCCUCAUAGAGUGGAAUAGCCUUCCGAAAGGAAGAUUAAUACCGCAUAAUGUUGAAAGAUGGCAUCAUCAUUCAACCAAAGGAGCAAUCCGCUAUGAGAUGGACCCGCGGCGCAUUAGCUAGUUGGUGGGGUAACGGCCUACCAAGGCGACGAUGCGUAGCCGACCUGAGAGGGUGAUCGGCCACAUUGGGACUGAGACACGGCCCAGACUCCUACGGGAGGCAGCAGUGGGGAAUAUUGCACAAUGGGGGAAACCCUGAUGCAGCAACGCCGCGUGAGUGAUGAAGGUUUUCGGAUCGUAAAGCUCUGUCU